RNAcentral lists this ribosomal RNA (707 nucleotides) under uncultured bacterium. RNAcentral's name for it is "bacterial SSU rRNA". It matches the Rfam family "Bacterial small subunit ribosomal RNA", at positions 104 to 810 of the family's 1533-position model. The record is from RNAcentral.
GGGUGAGUAACACGUAUCCAACCUGCCGAUGACUCGGGGAUAGCCUUUCGAAAGAAAGAUUAAUACCCGAUGGCAUAGUUCUUCCGCAUGGUAGAACUAUUAAAGAAUUUCGGUCAUCGAUGGGGAUGCGUUCCAUUAGCUUGUUGGCGGGGUAACGGCCCACCAAGGCAUCGAUGGAUAGGGGUUCUGAGAGGAAGGUCCCCCACAUUGGAACUGAGACACGGUCCAAACUCCUACGGGAGGCAGCAGUGAGGAAUAUUGGUCAAUGGGCGCUAGCCUGAACCAGCCAAGUAGCGUGAAGGAUGACUGCCCUAUGGGUUGUAAACUUCUUUUAUAUGGGAAUAAAGUGCAGUAUGUAUACUGCUUUGCAUGUACCUUAUGAAUAAGGAUCGGCUAACUCCGUGCCAGCAGCCGCGGUAAUACGGAGGAUCCGAGCGUUAUCCGGAUUUAUUGGGUUUAAAGGGAGCGUAGGCGGGUUGUUAAGUCAGUUGUGAAAGUUUGCGGCUCAACCGUAAAAUUGCAGUUGAUACUGGCAUCCUUGAGUACAGUAGAGGUAGGCGGAAUUCGUGGUGUAGCGGUGAAAUGCUUAGAUGUCACGAAGAACUCCGAUUGCGAAGGCAGCCUGCUGGACUGUAACUGACGCUGAUGCUCGAAAGUGUGGGUAUCAAACAGGAUUAGAUACCCUGGUAGUCCACACAGUAAACGAU